AUUGAACGCUGGCGGCAUGCCUUACACAUGCAAGUCGAACGGCAGCACGGGAGCAAUCCUGGUGGCGAGUGGCGAACGGGUGAGUAAUAUAUCGGAACGUGCCCAGUCGUGGGGGAUAACGCAGCGAAAGCUGUGCUAAUACCGCAUACGAUCUAAGGAUGAAAGCGGGGGAUCGCAAGACCUCGCGCGAUUGGAGCGGCCGAGAUCAGAUUAGCUAGUUGGUGGGGUAAAGGCCCACCAAGGCGACGAGCCGUAGCUGGUCUGAGAGGACGACCAGCCACACUGGAACUGAGACACGGUCCAGACUCCUACGGGAGGCAGCAGUGGGGAAUUUUGGACAAUGGGCGCAAGCCUGAUCCAGCAAUGCCGCGUGCAGGAUGAAGGCCUUCGGGUUGUAAACUGCUUUUGUACGGAACGAAACGGCCCUUUCUAAUACAGGGGGCUAAUGACGGUACCGUAAGAAUAAGCACCGGCUAACUACGUGCCAGCAGCCGCCGUAA
This 500-nucleotide ribosomal RNA is filed under the name uncultured bacterium. RNAcentral describes it as "partial 16S ribosomal RNA". It matches the Rfam family "Bacterial small subunit ribosomal RNA", at positions 29 to 523 of the family's 1533-position model. The record is from RNAcentral.